GGAGCAGAGAGAGAAAAGGAAACAUCUGGAGCGUGAAUACAGUCCUCCAGCUGUAAAGAAAUCAAGAGACUUAUGGAAGGAGGAGUCACCACCUGGGAGCGUUGUGGAUGACAAGAUCCUGGUCCAAGAGGAAGAAGAUCCAUCUGUCAAGUUGCAGAGCUACACCCGUGACUCCGGUGUGUGCACGCCCAAUGAUGUUGACUUCCAGCUGCUUCAACAAGAUGUGCCUGAGCCAUGUGAGGUUGUCGAGAUCGAAACCUGCAGCCAGGCACCAGGAGACAGUGAUCCCACCUCAGAAUCUGUCUACUCUUCCAACACAUCCAGAAAUUCUGAUGAAGGAGAAAUGCAUCAAAGCCAGAAGGAAGAUCUCGG
This is a long non-coding RNA of Ochotona princeps (American pika), 372 nucleotides long. RefSeq lists it as uncharacterized. Lineage: Eukaryota; Metazoa; Chordata; Mammalia; Lagomorpha; Ochotonidae. The transcript is spliced from 4 exons. The record is from RefSeq and is a predicted model, not a curated record.